Molecule: long non-coding RNA, 400 nt
Filed under: Durio zibethinus
Lineage: Eukaryota; Viridiplantae; Streptophyta; Magnoliopsida; Malvales; Malvaceae
Description: long non-coding RNA (DZIB_LNC000485)
Source: RNAcentral
GGCAGCUUCUGUAAAAAAAAAAAAAAUUCUGCAAAAACACACAAAAAAAAAAAACAACAGUCCCCUGGAACGGGGAACCCAGCGCCAGAAAGUCACCUGAAAAAAAAAAGAGAGAGAUCAGCAGAUUCAAAAAAAAAAAAAAAAAAAAAAAGGAGACCGAACUUUGAGCCCCGAUCUACGUCGAUCAGGGUUGUUUCCGGUAAAAAAGGACACCGGAUCUGGAAAGAUCGCGUCGAAGAGAACUUCCAGAAGAAUUUUCACUUUUCCCGGUCAUCGGAAACCACCGUCCAAGACUGCCGGCGGCGAGCCAGACGGCGGCCGGCACGGUGCUCCGGCAACCGACCGGCGACCCUCCCCCAGAGCUCUCUCUCUCCCUCUCUCCCUUUUUUUUUUCUGAAAC